GUAGGUUCCGAGCGUUAUCCGGAUUUACUGGGCGUAAAGCGCGUUCAGGCGGUUCGGCAAGUCGGGCAUGAAAUCUCUCGGCUCAACCGGGAGAGGUUGUCCGAUACUGCUGGACUUGAGGGCAGUAGAGGGUGGUGGAAUUCCGGGUGUAGUGGUGAAAUGCGUAGAUAUCCGAAGGAACACCAGUGGCGAAAGCGGCCACCUGGACUGUACCUGACGCUCAAACGCGAAAGCUAGGGGAGCGAACGGGAUUAGAAACCCCGGUAGUCCUAGCUAUAAACGAUGUUGACUAGGUGUCGACGGUCUAAACCCCGCCGGUGCCGGAGCAAACGCAUUAAGUCAACCGCCUGGGGACUACGGCCGCAAGGUUA
RNAcentral lists this ribosomal RNA (371 nucleotides) under uncultured bacterium. RNAcentral's name for it is "bacterial SSU rRNA". It matches the Rfam family "Bacterial small subunit ribosomal RNA", at positions 527 to 896 of the family's 1533-position model. The record is from RNAcentral.